This 74-nucleotide transfer RNA is filed under the name Holospora undulata HU1. It matches the Rfam family "tRNA". From Rfam's summary of the family: Transfer RNA (tRNA) molecules are approximately 80 nucleotides in length. Their secondary structure includes four short double-helical elements and three loops (D, anti-codon, and T loops). The record is from Rfam by way of RNAcentral. Lineage: Bacteria; Pseudomonadati; Pseudomonadota; Alphaproteobacteria; Holosporales; Holosporaceae.
GCGAGUGUAGCUCAGCUGGUUAGAGCGCUAGGUUGUGGUUCUAGAGGUCGCCGGUUCGAAACCGGUCAUUCGCC